This 166-nucleotide ribosomal RNA is filed under the name uncultured bacterium. Its description in RNAcentral is "partial 16S ribosomal RNA". It matches the Rfam family "Bacterial small subunit ribosomal RNA", at positions 349 to 507 of the family's 1533-position model. The record is from RNAcentral.
CAGCAGUGGGGAAUUUUGGACAAUGGGCGCAAGCCUGAUCCAGCAAUGCCGCGUGCAGGAUGAAGGCCUUCGGGUUGUAAACUGCUUUUGUACGGAACGAAACGGUCGUCUCUAAUACAGAUGGGUAAUGACGGUACCGUAAGAAUAAGCACCGGCUAACUACGUG